GUCCAAGGGCGGGAAUCGAACCCACAACCUUCUGCUUACCGGGCAGGUGCCAUGUCCACUAGGCUACCCUGGA
Cordylochernes scorpioides is the source of this 73-nucleotide non-coding RNA. Lineage: Eukaryota; Metazoa; Arthropoda; Arachnida; Pseudoscorpiones; Chernetidae. The record is from the annotation of a GenBank genome assembly.